This 1934-nucleotide long non-coding RNA is filed under the name Equus caballus (horse). RNAcentral's name for it is "lncRNA (ENSECAG00000049093.1)". The record is from RNAcentral. Lineage: Eukaryota; Metazoa; Chordata; Mammalia; Perissodactyla; Equidae.
UCAUUGCUAGGCGCGGACAACGUCCCGUAAACAAAGAACACUCAGACAUUGUGGAUUGAGCUAUAAUAAGUGGGAGAAAGAGCUAAUUCUAAUUCUGCCUGGAGGAAGGGCACUGCAAGUCAUGGAAUUUGUACUGUCUAGGGGACUGCAUAUUGGAGCUGGAAGAGGGUUUUUCCAGAGGAAGUAACUGGAGAUGAGGUGGGACGGGACAGGCUGGGACGAAGAAUUUGGGCUUCUUGAUGUUGGCAAUUGGGACCCCGCUGAGAAAUGCGAGCAGUUCUGUGUUGAAGUCAGAACACCUGCCACUAGCAAUUUGUACAACUUUGGGAAAGUUUCUCUAGGGGACCCCGCUUCCACAUCUAUAAAUCAGAGUACCCACUUCACAGUUUGCUGUGAGACCUGUGUGAUAGAGGAAUGACUGAUUCGUCACCUAUAGAGCAGGGUUGUGAGAUAAAGAUGUUUGUGUAGGAAAGCUUAAGCCGUUCUCCUCUGCUACGUGGUGUAAAGAUCCCAGGUGGGUUGUACCUUCUGAAAACGUGGGCGGGUUCUUCGCGCUGCCCCUCCCUCUUAACCCCUCUCCUCUCCCCACCCCUACCCUCUCUUCCUUCUUCCUUAUUUGUGUUCUUUCUUGGGAACAAAUGACAUAUCCAGCAGAGAGUGACGCUCAAUAAAUGAGACUGUACGACGAUUCAAUACUCAGGAAAAGAAGGUGCUGUAUGCAUUCAAGUUAAAGGGCUGUAAAUAUUUUCGUAAUUCUAACAGAACUUUGCCCUCUUCUGCGAUCUCAGUGUGUGCUCGGUGCUGACUUCAUCCCCUCCCAUAAAAAUACUGUCCGUACGCGGUGGAGCCCUUGAAACCCUGCCCUUCUCAGCCCUAAUCCUCGUUCUUUAGUCCUGCACACUUCCUUCUACCCUACGCGCGCGCUAGGUGGAGUCUCCGGUCCUUAGUAAAGGGAAGGCUUCUUCGCCCCCUGGUGGUCAUAAGUGGAAAAGGUGAGUAAAUCAGAAAUCCUGUCCCCCCCCCUGCUUCCCAUAACAAAUUUUCGUUAGUCUGGAUAGCUAGGUCGUCGCGCUUCAGGAAAAGAGCUUCUCCUGAGGGAGACAGCUAUGUGAACAACUCUUUACGUUAGAAGUCUGAAAAGGGCCGUACGAAUCGGGAGUAAGGAUCAAGGAUGGCCAUUCAGCCUCUGCCGGAACACAUCCCGGGAUGGAACAUCCUAGUCCUCCUGGGAAAAGGAGAAAGAGCCCUUUAACUGCAGCUGGAUCCAGGAACCCAGGCGGGGAAGCAUCAGCAGAGUACUUUUAUUCUGGCAUUCUAUGUGAAGGCAGAAGUCUGGGUUCCACUUGCGAGUUGUGUACAAUAAACUGAAGAAAAUCAGGAAUCCAGGUGCAGCUUAGGAAUCAGUCCUCAGGUGCUGUUGGACUUGGUUCCGUGCUGGCUAUUGGCUGGAGGCUGUCCUCAGUUCCUUGCCGUGUGGACCUCUCUGUAGGGCAGCUCACAACAUGGCAGAUGGCUUCCAUCAGAGCAAGGAGUCAUUAGGUUCAGCUCACACUCAAGGUGAGGGGAUUACACGACGGAAUGAAGACCAGGAGCCAUCUCAGUGGCUCCCUAGGACACAGCUCAAAUCUGCUCUUUCAUCCCGUGUCAGACCUGGACAGCUCUGACCCAUUCUCCAAGCCUCAGAGUAGAUGCUUUACCCUCCAGGAUUGAGUUAAUGGUCCUUCAAGCAUGCCUCUGUGACACCCUGGACUUCUCCAUCAUAGCCCCCACCACAGCAUGUCAUUACCUAGCCACUGGUCUGCCUCCUGCCCCUUCUGUAAGCUCUGUGAGGACAGCCACCUUGUCUCUUGUCUUCACUGAUGUGGACCCAGACCCAAGCAUAGGGCCAAAACAUACUGGGCACUCGGGGUAUGUUUACUAAAUUUAUUAAACGA